GACGAACGCUGGCGGCGUGCUUAACACAUGCAAGUCGAACGGAAAGGCCCUGCUUUUGUGGGGUGCUCGAGUGGCGAACGGGUGAGUAACACGUGAGUAACCUGCCCUUGACUUUGGGAUAACUUCAGGAAACUGGGGCUAAUACCGGAUAGGAGCUCCUGCUGCAUGGUGGGGGUUGGAAAGUUUCGGCGGUUGGGGAUGGACUCGCGGCUUAUCAGCUUGUUGGUGGGGUAGUGGCUUACCAAGGCUUUGACGGUAGCCGGCCUGAGAGGGUGACCGGCCACAUUGGGACUGAGAUACGGCCCAGACUCCUACGGGAGGCAGCAGUGGGGAAUAUUGCCAAUGGGCGGAAGCCUGAUGCAGCAACGCCGCGUGCGGGAUGACGGCCUUCGGGUUGUAAACCGCUUUCGCCUGGGACGAAGCGUGAGUGACGGGAAUGGGUAAAGAAGCACCGGCUAACUACG
Molecule: ribosomal RNA, 464 nt
Filed under: uncultured bacterium
Lineage: Bacteria
Description: partial 16S ribosomal RNA
Rfam family: Bacterial small subunit ribosomal RNA
Source: RNAcentral